AUGGAAAAGAAAUGCAAAAAAGCAAAAUGGCUGUCUGGGGAGGCCUUACAAAUAGCUGUGAAAAGAAGAGAAGGGAAAAGCAAAGGAGAAGAGGAAAGAUAUAAGCAUCUGAAUGCAGAGUUCCAAAGAAUAGCAAGAAGAGAUAAGAAAGCCUUCCUCAGCGAUCAAUGCAAAGAAAUAGAGGGAAACAACAGAAUGGGAAAGAGUAGAGAUCUCUUCAAGAAAACAAGAGAUACCAAGGGAACAUUUCAUGCAAAGAUGGGCUCGAGAAAGGACAGAAAUGGUAUGGGCCUAACAGAAGCAGAAGAUAUUCAGGAGAGGUGGCAAGUAUACACGGAAGAACUGUACAAAAAAGAUCUUCACGAGCCAGAUAAUCACGAUGGUGUGAUCACUGACCUAGAGCCAGACAUCCUGGAAUGUGAAGUCAAGUGGGCCUUAGAAAGCAUCACUAUGAACAAAGCUAGUGGAGAUGAUGGAAUUCCAGGGGAGCUAUUUCAAAUCCUGAAAGAUGAUGCUGUGAAAGUGCUGGGCUCAAUAUGCCAGCAGAUUUGGAAAACUCAGCAGUGGCCACAGGACUGGAAAAGGUCAGUUUUCAUUCCAAUCCCAAAGAAAGACAAUGCCAAAGAAUGCUCAAACUACCACACAAGUGCACUCAUCUCACGUGCUAGUAAAGUCAUGCUCAACACUCUCCAAGCCAGGCUUCAGCAAUACGUAAACCGUGAACUUCCAGAUGUUCAAGCUGGUUUUAGAAAAGGCAGAGGAACCAGAGAUCAAAUUGCCAACAUCCGCUGGAUCAUGGAAAAAGCAAGAGAGUUCCAGAAAAACAUCUAUUUCUGCUUUAUUGACUAUGCCAAAGCCUUUAGCUGUGUGGAUCACAAUAAACUGUGGAAAAUUCUGAAAGAGAUGGGAAUAGCAGACCACCUGACCUGCCUCUGGAGAAAUCUGUAUGCAGGUCAGGAAGCAACAGUUCGAACUGGACAUGGAACAACAGACUGGUUCCAAAGAUGA
Molecule: long non-coding RNA, 1008 nt
Filed under: Bos indicus x Bos taurus (hybrid cattle)
Lineage: Eukaryota; Metazoa; Chordata; Mammalia; Artiodactyla; Bovidae
Description: lncRNA (ENSBIXG00005029608.1)
Source: RNAcentral